GUCCCUGGUCCAGACGGAGGGGAUUUGGUCUGCAAGUAAAGGUUUGCCAGUGAAAAUCACACAAGCUUGAAUAUUUAUAGUACCAAUAAUAAGGUACUCAUUUCUUUGAAUAUUUAUAUUACAUUUCUUUGAAUAUUUAUAUUAAAGUAUUAUAGGCCUAUCAAUGAUCCAUGAACGAGGGGAACAUGCACGGUAAAGUAAACUCACGCUGGAGGAGCAGCUCGAAGAAGUAAUCGAAAUCAGUAGUGCGAUCGACGCUGUAUAGGUCAAAGCUGCCGCGUCGGUU
Long non-coding RNA from Eriocheir sinensis (Chinese mitten crab), 286 nucleotides. RefSeq lists it as uncharacterized. NCBI's taxonomy places the organism in Eukaryota, Metazoa, Arthropoda, Malacostraca, Decapoda, Varunidae. The transcript has 2 exons. The record is from RefSeq and is a predicted model, not a curated record.